ACGGAGGGUGCAAGCGUUAUCCGGAAUCAUUGGGUUUAAAGGGUCCGCAGGCGGACAAGCAAGUCAGUGGUGAAAUCCCAUCGCUUAACGAUGGAACUGCCAUUGAAACUGUUUGUCUUGAAUUCGGUCGAAGUGGGCGGAAUGUGUCAUGUAGCGGUGAAAUGCAUAGAUAUGACACAGAACACCGAUAGCGAAGGCAGCUCACUAGGUCUGAAUUGACGCUCAGGGACGAAAGCGUGGGGAGCGAACAGG
This 252-nucleotide ribosomal RNA is filed under the name uncultured bacterium. RNAcentral describes it as "partial 16S ribosomal RNA". It matches the Rfam family "Bacterial small subunit ribosomal RNA", at positions 525 to 776 of the family's 1533-position model. The record is from RNAcentral.